RNAcentral lists this ribosomal RNA (445 nucleotides) under uncultured bacterium. RNAcentral describes it as "bacterial SSU rRNA". It matches the Rfam family "Bacterial small subunit ribosomal RNA", at positions 340 to 777 of the family's 1533-position model. The record is from RNAcentral.
UACGGAAGGCAGCAGGGGGAAGUAUUGCACAAUGGGCGGCAAGCCUGAUGCAGCCAUGCCGCGUGUAUGAAGAAGGCCUUCGGGUUGUAAAGUACUUUCAGUCGUGAGGAAGGUGUUAAGGUUAAUAACCUUAGCAAUUGACGUUAGCGACAGAAGAAGCACCGGCUAACUCCGUGCCAGCAGCCGCGGUAAUACGGAGGGUGCGAGCGUUAAUCGGAAUUACUGGGCGUAAAGGGCACGCAGGCGGUUAAUUAAGUUGGAUGUGAAAUCCCCGGGCUUAACCUGGGAAUGGCAUUCAAGACUGGUUAGCUAGAGUCUUGUAGAGGGGGUAGAAUUCCAUGUGUAGCGGUGAAAUGCGUAGAGAUGUGGAGGAAUACCGGUGGCGAAGGCGGCCCCCUGGACAAAGACUGACGCUCAUGUGCGAAAGCGUGGGGAGCAAACAGGG